RNAcentral lists this ribosomal RNA (425 nucleotides) under Hyalinobatrachium cf. iaspidiense ABGD cluster 11. RNAcentral describes it as "partial large subunit ribosomal RNA". It matches the Rfam family "Bacterial large subunit ribosomal RNA", at positions 1834 to 2439 of the family's 2925-position model. Lineage: Eukaryota; Metazoa; Chordata; Amphibia; Anura; Centrolenidae. The record is from RNAcentral.
CUUGAAUAAAUAUAAGAGGUCCAGCCUGCCCAGUGACCAUGUUCAACGGCCGCGGUAUCCUAACCGUGCGAAGGUAGCGUAAUCACUUGUUCUUUAAAUAAGGACUAGUAUGAACGGCACCACGAAGGUUACACUGUCUCCUUUCUCUAAUCAGUGAAACUAAUCCCCCCGUGAAGAAGCGGGGAUAAACAUAUAAGACGAGAAGACCCUAUGGAGCUUCAAACUUUAAAGGCACUUGCCCCAACAUAAACCUAAUUUCAGAAAACUACUACCACCCAAGCAAGAUGACCCUUAGUUUUAGGUUGGGGUGACCGCGGAGCAAAAAAAAACCUCCACAUUGAAAAGAGCCAACUCUUUAGCCAAGAGCUACACCUCUAAGCACCAACAAAAAGACGUUAAUUGACCCAAUAUUUUGAUCAACGAAC